RNAcentral lists this ribosomal RNA (425 nucleotides) under uncultured bacterium. RNAcentral describes it as "partial 16S ribosomal RNA". It matches the Rfam family "Bacterial small subunit ribosomal RNA", at positions 354 to 796 of the family's 1533-position model. The record is from RNAcentral.
GUGGGGAAUCUUAGACAAUGGGGGAAACCCUGAUCUAGCCAUGUCGCGUGAUCGAUGAAGGCCUUAGGGUUGUAAAGAUCUUUCAGGUGGGAAGAUAAUGACUGUACCACCAGAAGAAGCCCCGGCUAACUCCGUGCCAGCAGCCGCGGUAAUACGGAGGGGGCUAGCGUUGUUCGGAAUUACUGGGCGUAAAGCGCACGUAGGCGGAUUGGAAAGUUGGGGGUGAAAUCCCGGGGCUCAACCCCGGAACUGCCUUCAAAACUCCCAGUCUUGAGUUCGAGAGAGGUGAGUGGAAUUCCGAGUGUAGAGGUGAAAUUCGUAGAUAUUCGGAGGAACACCAGUGGCGAAGGCGGCUCACUGGCUCGAUACUGACGCUGAGGUGCGAAAGCGUGGGGAGCAAACAGGAUUAGAUACCCCAGUAGUCC